This 80-nucleotide transfer RNA is filed under the name Dreissena polymorpha. It matches the Rfam family "tRNA". From Rfam's summary of the family: Transfer RNA (tRNA) molecules are approximately 80 nucleotides in length. Their secondary structure includes four short double-helical elements and three loops (D, anti-codon, and T loops). Lineage: Eukaryota; Metazoa; Mollusca; Bivalvia; Myida; Dreissenidae. The record is from Rfam by way of RNAcentral.
GUUGCCGUGGCCGAGUGGUUAAGGCGAUAGACUUGAAAUCUCUUGGGAUUUUCGCGCUGGUUCGCAUCCUGCCGUCAACG